UGAGGAAUAUUGGGCAAUGCCCGCAAGGGUGACCCAGCAACGCCGCGUGGAGGAUGAAUGUCGUAAGAUUGUAAACUCCUGUUAGAGGGGAAGAAUAGUACCGGUUGGACCGGUAUAUGACUGUACCCUCAGAGAAAGCCCCGGCUAACUACGUGCCAGCAGCGGCGGUAAUACGUAGGGGGCAAGCGUUGUCCGGAUUUACUGGGUGUAAAGGGCGCGCAGGCGGGAUAAAAAGUCAGUGGUGAAAUCCUACAGCUUAACUGUAGAACUGCCUUUGAUACUUUUAUUCUUGAGUUCGGGAGAGAGAGACGGAAUUCCAGGUGUAGUGGUGAAAUACGUAGAUAUCUGGAAGAACACCAGUUGCGAAGGCGGUCUCUUGGUCCGACACUGACGCUGAGGCGCGAAAGCGUGGGGAGCAAACA
Molecule: ribosomal RNA, 422 nt
Filed under: uncultured bacterium
Lineage: Bacteria
Description: bacterial SSU rRNA
Rfam family: Bacterial small subunit ribosomal RNA
Source: RNAcentral